GAUGAACGCUAGCGGCAGGCCUAACACAUGCAAGUCGAGGGAGAAGCCCUUUCGGGGGCAGAAACCGGCGCACGGGUGCGUAACGCGUAUGCAACCUACCUUUCACAGGGGGAUAGCCCGAAGAAAUUUGGAUUAAUACCCCAUAAUAUUGUUGGAUGGCAUCAUCCGGCAAUUAAAACUGAGGUGGUGAAAGAUGGGCAUGCGUCCUAUUAGCUAGUUGGAGUGGUAACGGCACCCCAAGGCUACGAUAGGUAGGGGUCCUGAGAGGGAGAUCCCCCACACUGGUACUGAGACAGGGACCAGACUCCUACGGGAGGCAGCAGUGAGGAAUAUUGGUCAAUGGUCGGAAGACUGAACCAGCCAUGCCGCGCGCAGGAAGAAUGCCUUAUGGGUUGUAAACUGCUUUUAUAUGGGAAGAAUAAGGCGUACGUGUACGUUGAUGACGGUACCAUAUGAAUAAGC
This 462-nucleotide ribosomal RNA is filed under the name Capnocytophaga sp. oral taxon F95. RNAcentral describes it as "bacterial SSU rRNA". It matches the Rfam family "Bacterial small subunit ribosomal RNA", at positions 28 to 491 of the family's 1533-position model. Lineage: Bacteria; Pseudomonadati; Bacteroidota; Flavobacteriia; Flavobacteriales; Flavobacteriaceae. The record is from RNAcentral.